UGGGCAGAAGAGGACCACUGAACUUAACC
Molecule: non-coding RNA, 29 nt
Filed under: Mus musculus (house mouse)
Lineage: Eukaryota; Metazoa; Chordata; Mammalia; Rodentia; Muridae
Source: RNAcentral